AGCAUUUGUCACCAAUACAAGUACACACCCGUGAUAUCGCGGGUCCGUGACUGAAUUUAAAGUAUAUAACUAUGCCUAAGCCUUAUUUUAGUAAUUAGUAUUGUCAUCUGAUAAAGUCAUGUCGAUUAUAAGAUAUAAAGUUUUCUCUGCUUUCAAAUCUUUCUGUUUGAACCCGUCGACCUGGAACUGAUCAAUUAUUGGUAACAUUAAUUAUUUGGAAAACAAAAGGUCCUGACUAUCCAGGAAUGGAGUAUUUUUUAAUCAACAGCAUUGUCCUAUAUUAGUUAUCUUAGAAAGUCUUGCUGAUUGCUGAAUAAAACUACAAUAGGGAACAAUUUGACAAUGAUUGACUUUAGUAGUGUCAGCCCUUUGAUUAUGACCUGUGUAUAUAGCAAAAUCCUAAAUACACCGUUUGGUGGUGCGCCUGUCAAAUGCGGAACGUACAGAUAAGGUAAUAGCUAACAGGUGAACAUACUAUUGGUAUCGGUAUCGGAUUCGACCCGGAACUUGUUAAUUAUUGGCAAUAUUAAUUAUGUGGAAAACAAAAGGGUCUGG
Molecule: long non-coding RNA, 555 nt
Filed under: Mytilus galloprovincialis (Mediterranean mussel)
Lineage: Eukaryota; Metazoa; Mollusca; Bivalvia; Mytilida; Mytilidae
Source: RNAcentral